GUCAUCCCCUGUUGGUCCUCAGUCCUGAGGGCAUUUCUCACAUGGAUAGCUUCUGUGCCUGACUUACUGAGCCACCCCUGGAGAUGUGCUCUUGGCUGAGAAGGUUUGCUCUUGGUUGAGAAGUUGCAAAACAGACCUAGAAGAGAGAUUUUCCCUGCUGUUUGUGACCAUCUCUGUCAAAGAGUGAAUCAGAGAUUGUGACUGUGUCACCUAAGCGCAGCUGAAUCCUACCAUGAGUGUCAAAAACAGAUCAUCUGAGAACAUACCCAGACUUCACGUUGCCACCUUCCCACCUGCUGCAGUUACCAUCCACAUCACCUCAGAAGAGCAACAG
Molecule: long non-coding RNA, 334 nt
Filed under: Numida meleagris (helmeted guineafowl)
Lineage: Eukaryota; Metazoa; Chordata; Aves; Galliformes; Numididae
Description: lncRNA (ENSNMEG00000012965.1)
Source: RNAcentral